RNAcentral lists this transfer RNA (73 nucleotides) under Paramuricea clavata. It matches the Rfam family "tRNA". From Rfam's summary of the family: Transfer RNA (tRNA) molecules are approximately 80 nucleotides in length. The record is from Rfam by way of RNAcentral. Lineage: Eukaryota; Metazoa; Cnidaria; Anthozoa; Malacalcyonacea; Plexauridae.
GACCGCGUAGCUCAGUUGGAAGAGCAUUGGGCUAGUAUUCCAAAGGUCGUAGGUUCGAAUCCCCCCGUAGCCG